RNAcentral lists this transfer RNA (61 nucleotides) under Marphysa tamurai. RNAcentral describes it as "tRNA-Ser". Lineage: Eukaryota; Metazoa; Annelida; Polychaeta; Eunicida; Eunicidae. The record is from RNAcentral.
AAAGGAGAGCACAAUGCAUCUUUGAUUUCGGCUCAAAGAAAGAACUAACCUUCCUCCUUUU